CGGUAAUACGUAGGGUGCAAGCGUUAAUCGGAAUUACUGGGCGUAAAGCGUGCGCAGGCGGUUUUGUAAGUCUGUCGUGAAAUCCCCGGGCUUAACCUGGGAAUUGCGAUGGAGACUGCAAGGCUAGAAUCUGGCAGAGGGGGGUAGAAUUCCACGUGUAGCAGUGAAAUGCGUAGAGAUGUGGAGGAACACCGAUGGCGAAGGCAGCCCCCUGGGUCAAGAUUGACGCUCAUGCACGAAAGCGUGGGGAGCAAACAGGAUUAGAUACCCUGGUAGUCCACGCCCUAAACGAUGUCUACUAGUUGUCGGGUCUUAAUUGACUUGGUAACGCAGCUAACGCGUGAAGUAGACCGCCUGGGGAGUACGGUCGCAAGAUUAAA
This 380-nucleotide ribosomal RNA is filed under the name uncultured bacterium. Its description in RNAcentral is "bacterial SSU rRNA". It matches the Rfam family "Bacterial small subunit ribosomal RNA", at positions 518 to 898 of the family's 1533-position model. The record is from RNAcentral.